Molecule: ribosomal RNA, 491 nt
Filed under: uncultured bacterium
Lineage: Bacteria
Description: bacterial SSU rRNA
Rfam family: Bacterial small subunit ribosomal RNA
Source: RNAcentral
AACGAACGCUGGCGGCGUGUCUUAAGCAUGCAAGUCGAGCGGCAAGGAAGUGCUUGCACUUCCCUAGAGCGGCGGACUGGUGAGUAACGCGUGGGUGAUCUACCUCGGGGUUGGGGAUAGCCAUUAGAAAUAGUGGGUAAUACCGAAUACGCUUCCAGGGCUACGGCCUUGGAAGGAAAGGCGCUACGGCGCCGACCUGAGAUGAGCCCGCGUCCCAUUAGCUAGUUGGUGAGGUAACGGCCCACCAAGGCGAUGAUGGGUAGGCGGCCUGAGAGGGUGUACGCCCACAUUGGGACUGAGAUACGGCCCAAACUCCUACGGGAGGCAGCAGCUAAGAAUAUUCCGCAAUGGACGAAAGUCUGACGGAGCGACGCCGCGUGGAUGAUGAAGGCCGGAAGGUUGUAAAAUCCUUUUGUCGGGGAAGAAUAAGCGUGGGAGGGAAUGCCCGCGUGAUGACAUGAACCGGCGAAUAAGCCCCGGCUAACUACGUG